CAGAAAGUGAAGGAUCUUGUGGCGCACCUCGGAUAUUUCGAGAUCUCCCAUAUCCCCAGGUCGGAGAACGCCCGGGCCGACGCACUCUCUAGGCUGGCGACUUCAGUUUUUGACUCUUUGGGCCAGACGUUCGUGGAGAAUCUCGAGCAGCCGAGCAUCGACAAGGUCGAGGAGGUGCUACAACUGACAGCCGAACCAAGCUGGAUGGAUCCG
Molecule: long non-coding RNA, 213 nt
Filed under: Elaeis guineensis (African oil palm)
Lineage: Eukaryota; Viridiplantae; Streptophyta; Magnoliopsida; Arecales; Arecaceae
Description: long non-coding RNA (EGUI_LNC044839)
Source: RNAcentral